Molecule: transfer RNA, 72 nt
Filed under: Dehalococcoidia bacterium
Lineage: Bacteria; Bacillati; Chloroflexota; Dehalococcoidia
Description: tRNA-Lys
Rfam family: tRNA
About the family: Transfer RNA (tRNA) molecules are approximately 80 nucleotides in length. Their secondary structure includes four short double-helical elements and three loops (D, anti-codon, and T loops).
Source: RNAcentral
GUCGGGUUAGCUCAGUGGCAGAGCGCAGGACUUUUAAUCCUGUGGCCGCGGGUUCGACCCCCGCAUCCGACA